GGGGUUGUAAUGGUUUCGACAGGUUUACGUUUGAUUCAGGCUGCAGUGGAGCGGUGACCUAAUCACUACUUAAAUUUAAACGCUAACACAAAUAGAGGCUACGCGUUCGCCUAAAGAACGCCCUGCUGCAAUCAGCGCUUGACGCGCCGCAGCACUCCGGUCAGUGAAUUCGCCGUUUGGAACUGACUGCGUAUCUAAAGCGGAUAAGGAGAACCUGACGUCUGUAAGGCAAUCCCGACAAUCUCACAGACAGAUUCAUCAGACGGUUAGCUCACUGACAUGUCUGAUGUCUUAUCCAACAGUGAGAUAAACUGUAGGCGCCUGAAUGUGGGACGACUCUUGGACAGGGGUUCGACUCCCCUCAGCUCCACU
RNAcentral lists this transfer-messenger RNA (372 nucleotides) under uncultured Bulleidia sp. It matches the Rfam family "transfer-messenger RNA". From Rfam's summary of the family: Bacterial tmRNA, also known as 10Sa RNA or SsrA, is named for its dual tRNA and mRNA-like properties. The record is from RNAcentral. Lineage: Bacteria; Bacillati; Bacillota; Erysipelotrichia; Erysipelotrichales; Erysipelotrichaceae.